RNAcentral lists this long non-coding RNA (1514 nucleotides) under Oryctolagus cuniculus (rabbit). Its description in RNAcentral is "lncRNA (ENSOCUG00000036857.1)". Lineage: Eukaryota; Metazoa; Chordata; Mammalia; Lagomorpha; Leporidae. The record is from RNAcentral.
CUCCCCUUCAGACAAUGUGGCAGUUGGGCCAGGGAGAAGCGGUGGAGCAAGGAGCCAGGGAGCAACUGAAAGAGGGAAUACAGAGAGGCCCAAAAGGAGAAAGUGGAGAAGCAGGAGGGGAGCCGGGCCCAGCCAGAGUCUCCUCGGAGAAGAAAAAAUGGCUGCGCUAGAGGGCCCGGGACAGGGAAUGAUGGCAUCUGAGGAGGACGCGGUCACUGCCAGUCAGGGCGCCCCUCACUCCCCCAGGCUCCGGGUGGUGAGGAGAGUGGCCCGGCCCACUGUGCAGCACCCAGCGCUGCCAUCGCCGCCCCCGUAGCACAAAUAAAAGGCGCGGGUUCAGCCUCUGCCUGGGCUCCGCGUCAGGCUCGCCCCACUGUCUUCUAACUUUACCUCGGGAUUUGGCUCCAAAGCGGCCUUCAGACAGGGUCCAUGACUGGGAAGCAGCAAGCAGCGAGCCCCGGCUCUUGUAGUGGGCAGGUGCAGGGAAGAUACUGAAGUGGAGAGGAGGGCGGCCUGGGAGUGCCGCCGGAGUCACAGGGACGGAGGCCUGUGAACUGGUCAGCGUCUCUGACCCUGGUGCCACCGCUGCCCCCACGCUGGGAGGAGGCCAACAGGGGCGGGUGAGCACGCCAUUGGUUCACGGGUGUGGGUUGGUCCAUCCGGGCCCUGAGUGUGGGCCGGGGUUUGGACGGUGCGGCCCCAGUCUGCCUGGGCUGGAAGUGACGCAACCCGAGACCUCGGAGCUUCAUAAAGCCUAGCAGACACUGUGGCUGUGAUCCAAGCUCUGAGCCGAGGGCAGCGGGGAGGGGGCUGCUGGGUGCUGGGAGCCUCUGCUGGGCCUCCUGUAGCGUGGAUCUCUGAGGCGCUAAGGAAGGAAGCUUUGGGAAAAGAAGCGGGGACCCUCGCCCGCGUGCUGUUUUGUGCAGCCUCGCCACAGAACAGAACGCCUGAGGUCGGCAGUGGUGGCCGUCCUGGGUCCAGCUCCAGCCCCGUGUCCUCCAGGGCCCGGCCGACUCCACCCACUUCUUCUCACGUCUGAGCCUCUGCCGCUGGGACUCCAAGAGGCCUGCUGCCAGCAGACGCUGCGAUGGCACUCCACUGAGGUAGGCCCUAGAUCUGUCACUGCCUCAAAGAUAAACGCAGUCACAAGUCAGCUCCACAGGCCAGCGCCGUGGCCACCACCUCUGCUGCAGUCCCAGGCUCCCCCACGGCAGCCCCAGGCUUCCUCACCACACAGAUGCCUGAGGUCUAACUUCACCCCCACCGCCGCUGGGCCCACGCUCAGCGCCCGUUGUUUGGCCACCGCGGCCGCCAUCUUCCCACGCUCAACAUUGCCUCCUCCCCACACUUCCUCGCUUCCAACGCUGGAGCCUGCAGGACUCAUGGCUGCCACCGUCACAGCCUCCCUGCUGUUCAGGGCCGCCCUACUCUUCCUGGCCGUGGCCGCCGCCCCACUCUUCAGGGCAGCCCCACUCUGCAUGGACUCGGCCUUCGCCCACGUCCAGAAUUCGUAG